AGUGAACGCUGGCGGUAGGCCUAACACAUGCAAGUCGAACGGCAGCACAGGAGAGCUUGCUCUCUGGGUGGCGAGUGGCGGACGGGUGAGGAAUACAUCGGAAUCUACUCUGUCGUGGGGGAUAACGUAGGGAAACUUACGCUAAUACCGCAUACGACCUACGGGUGAAAGCAGGGAACCUUCGGGCCUUGCGCGAUUGAAUGAGCCGAUGUCGGAUUAGCUAGUUGGCGGGGUAAAGGCCCACCAAGGCGACGAUCCGUAGCUGGGCUGAGAGGAUGAUCAGCCACACUGGAACUGAGAUACGGUCCAGACUCCUACGGGAGGCAGCAGUGGGGAAUAUUGGACAAUGGGCGCAAGCCUGAUCCAGCCAUACCGCGUGGGUGAAGAAGGCCUUCGGGUUGUAAAGCCCUUUUGUUGAGAAAGAAAUCCAGCUGGCUAAUACCCGGUUGGGAUGACGGUACCCAAAGAAUAAGCACCGGCUAACUUCGUGCCAGCCGCCGCAGUAA
Molecule: ribosomal RNA, 506 nt
Filed under: uncultured bacterium
Lineage: Bacteria
Description: partial 16S ribosomal RNA
Rfam family: Bacterial small subunit ribosomal RNA
Source: RNAcentral